RNAcentral lists this ribosomal RNA (200 nucleotides) under uncultured bacterium. RNAcentral's name for it is "partial 16S ribosomal RNA". It matches the Rfam family "Bacterial small subunit ribosomal RNA", at positions 524 to 723 of the family's 1533-position model. The record is from RNAcentral.
UACAGAGGGUGCAAGCGUUGUUCGGAAUUAUUGGGCGUAAAGCGCGUGUAGGCGGCUUUGCAAGUCGGGUGUGAAAGCCCUCAGCUCAACUGAGGAAGUGCGCCCGAAACUGCAGAGCUUGAGUGCCGGAGAGGGUGGCGGAAUUCCCCAAGUAGAGGUGAAAUUCGUAGAUAUUGGGAAGAACACCGGUGGCGAAGGCG